AGAGCGAACGCUGGCGGCAGGCCUAACACAUGCAAGUCGAGCGCCGUAGCAAUACGGAGCGGCAGACGGGAGAGUAACACGUGGGAACGUGCCCUUCAGUUCGGAACAACCCAGGGAAACUUGGGCUAAUACCGGAUACGUCCGAAAGGAGAAAGAUUUAUCGCCGAAGGAUUGGCCCGCGUCCGAUUAGCUAGUUGGUGAGGUAACGGCUCACCAAGGCGACGAUCGGUAGCUGGUCUGAGAGGAUGAUCAGCCACACUGGGACUGAGACACGGCCCAGACUCCUACGGGAGGCAGCAGUGGGGAAUAUUGGACAAUGGGCGCAAGCCUGAUCCAGCCAUGCCGCGUGAGUGAUGAAGGCCCUAGGGUUGUAAAGCUCUUUCGUCAGGGACGAUAAUGACGGUACCUGAAGAAGAAGCCCGGCUAACUUCGCGCCAGCAGCCGC
Molecule: ribosomal RNA, 445 nt
Filed under: uncultured bacterium
Lineage: Bacteria
Description: SSU rRNA
Rfam family: Bacterial small subunit ribosomal RNA
Source: RNAcentral